This 460-nucleotide ribosomal RNA is filed under the name uncultured bacterium. RNAcentral's name for it is "partial 16S ribosomal RNA". It matches the Rfam family "Bacterial small subunit ribosomal RNA", at positions 338 to 795 of the family's 1533-position model. The record is from RNAcentral.
CCUACGGGAGGCAGCAGUGAGGAAUAUUGGUCAAUGGACGAGAGUCUGAACCAGCCAAGUAGCGUGAAGGAUGACUGCCCUAUGGGUUGUAAACUUCUUUUAUAAAGGAAUAAAACGAGGCACGUGUGCCUUUUUGCAUGUACUUUAUGAAUAAGGAUCGGCUAACUCCGUGCCAGCAGCCGCGGUAAUACGGAGGAUCCGAGCGUUAUCCGGAUUUAUUGGGUUUAAAGGGAGCGUAGAUGGGUUGUUAAGUCAGUUGUGAAAUUUUGCGGCUCAACCGUAAAAUUGCAAUUGAUACUGGCAGUCUUGAGUACAGUUGAGGUAGGCGGAAUUCGUGGUGUAGCGGUGAAAUGCUUAGAUAUCACGAAGAACCCCGAUUGCGAAGGCAGCUUACUAAACUGUGACUGACAUUGAUGCUCGAAAGUGUGGGUAUCAAACAGGAUUAGAUACCCCUGUAGUC